RNAcentral lists this ribosomal RNA (207 nucleotides) under uncultured bacterium. RNAcentral describes it as "partial 16S ribosomal RNA". It matches the Rfam family "Bacterial small subunit ribosomal RNA", at positions 29 to 263 of the family's 1533-position model. The record is from RNAcentral.
AACGAACGCUGGCGGCAUGCCUAACACAUGCAAGUCGAACGAGACCUUCGGGUCUAGUGGCGCACGGGUGCGUAACGCGUGGGAAUCUGCCCUUAGGUACGGAAUAACAGUGAGAAAUUACUGCUAAUACCGUAUGAUGUCUUCGGACCAAAGAUUUAUCGCCUAGGGAUGAGCCCGCGUAGGAUUAGCUAGUUGGUGGGGUAAAGG